Molecule: long non-coding RNA, 602 nt
Filed under: Gossypium raimondii (Peruvian cotton)
Lineage: Eukaryota; Viridiplantae; Streptophyta; Magnoliopsida; Malvales; Malvaceae
Description: long non-coding RNA (GRAI_LNC005820)
Source: RNAcentral
AUAAAAUGUUAAAUUGAUUGUUUGUAAAUUUAUAUUAUGAAAUUGAGUCAUAUUAAAGUAAAAUUUAUCAAUAAUUCAUAUUAGAUCAAUGAAUAUGGCUGCCACUAGCCAGCAACAACAUACUCUAGUAGAGAGCAAUUCAACCUGCAAUAAAAGGGCAUCUCCCAUAACUCUUUAUAAAGCAACUGCGCCAAAAUGAUAAGCGAAAUAAUCAAUUUCUGCCAUUAAACUACAUUUUAUGCUUAAGCUCAUUACUAAAAGCAGGAUAUUUUUAACACUCAUACCUUAUGAAACACAAUCAUGUUUGUGAUUCUUUGAAUCUCAUACUUUUCUAAAGCAAAUAUUGAGCUGAAACUUUUCAAUAAGAAUAGUCUAUAAAGUAGAAGGAUGUAAUAAGUUUAAGAAAAUACAAAUUUAAGGCUCUUUUCAUAGUAAUGGAUUGAGUGAUUGUCACUGCAUGAGUGCAUGUAAAUUGUUGGCAUAUUUAUUAUUUGCAUCCGCUGUAAUUUCAUCAUUCAUCCCCUUAUAUAAAAAUGGAACAAAGUAAUCCAAAGUUCUGUUUUUUCCCUUCAAUCAAACACACAUGUAAGGUAUAGACUCAC